Corythoichthys intestinalis (scribbled pipefish) is the source of this 5304-nucleotide long non-coding RNA. RefSeq lists it as uncharacterized. NCBI's taxonomy places the organism in Eukaryota, Metazoa, Chordata, Actinopteri, Syngnathiformes, Syngnathidae. The transcript is spliced from 2 exons. The record is from RefSeq and is a predicted model, not a curated record.
CUGAAAAUGCGUCGACUGGGAUUUUUAACGACAUUGACUACAGGUAAGCCACACACACGCCUUUUGUUGUGAAUAACUAUGGGAGUUGGGGGCUUCUGGUCAGAUCACAUAUGAAGUUAAGACUUGCAAUGUGAGUUCUGGGCUGUAGCGGUCAUUAUUAUGAUGUUAGAUUGUUAACUUUGAGCAAAAAGUUUAGAUUGACAAAUAACAUAGUAUUUAGUCUGUUUAACCGUAGUUCCAAAAACCUAUUUGAUAAUUUUAUUCAGGAAAAAAUGGCAGAAUAGACAAGCCUAUAUAAUUUGGAUUGGAAGAUUAUGUAAAUAUGAUAUGGAUGAAACAGUUCUCACAUGGUUUAUGUGUGUGUGCGUGUUUUUCGAACUGAAACACCCUUCACUGACAGCUACAACUUCUUCUGUGAGACCGUCGUCCAUUAAAAGAUUAGAGUUGACCAGGAAGUGCUGCGAAUGGACAAGCUUGUGGAAAUAUGGCUUUAUUGGGACCAUGGAAAAAGUGCUUAGAAAAUUGAUUUUUUCAAAGCCAAUACCCUCCUAACUUAGUCACCAGCCAGAAAUGUAUCCUGAUGUGAAUACACAAAAAUACAGAUCUAGUGUUGCUGUUUUUGCUUGUUUUAAGUGUUAUAUUAAUUCUGGCAACACAAAAUCUUUAUCAAAUGUCAUAAACACAUCUACCAAACAUUUGAAACAAGUAUUGGUGCCUUAGUAUACACAUAGGUGAAUUCAGAAUGAGAAAUGUAGCUAAUUUCUUGAAGGAAACACUUCAACAUUAAUGAUUUGCACCCAGCACAAUGAAAUAUAUAUUGAAUUAAGCUAAAGGCUUAUGUGUCAUAUUAAAAAUAUCACAACCUACUAUGCAAUGAAAUAUAUAAAAUAAAAAAAUGCACGCCAUGAUCAUAAAUAGCUGAAAAUCAACCCAAUUGCUACCACACCCUCCUAGAUGUGAAUCAUGGCAAAAAUGGAAUAAGACAAAAAAAUUAAAGGGUGAUCAAAAAUAUAAUGUGCCAAAAUCAUAAGGUGAUACUUAAAAAAUGAAAGACAUCACAAAAAAAGUGAUGGACACAUGUUGAAGAUAACUUCCAAGUUUUAUUUCAUGUUUCACAAGUGCUCAAAUGUGAGCACACCCAGCAGCACGGACAAAAUCAAGCCACGAUGAGAAUUCCUCUCAAACGUGUGCAUGUCGCAGUUAUUGUCUUGAUUGCGACUGUUGUUCGAUAUUUCACAUCAUCAGUACUUGCUGGACGUGUUGGUAUGUUAAAGACAAAGUUCGUUAUCCAUCUUUAUGGCACAUAACGUAUGUUAUACACUAAGUGUAUGUUCCACCACUUCCAGCGAAUAUUGAUGACAUGAAAGAUUACAUAACAGACGCAAUCAACGCGGGAGGGAGGAAUUCUCAUGUCAACUUGAUGUUGUCCAUGCUGCUGGUGAUGGCCAUAUUUGAGUACUAUGAAAACAUGAAAUUAAACUUAGUUACUUCCUACAUCUGUCCAAGGUAGUUUUUAUUUUUUUUUUAUGUUUUUCGUUUUUGACAUGGCAUUUUGAUUUUGGCACAGCCUUUUUUAAUCACACUGUAUAUACACAAAAGGUUGGAAUCAUUCAAGUAUAGUACUGUUGGUACACAUUUAUUUAAACAUGGAAGUAUCUCGUACUAUAGAAAUAUUGAAAAACGAAUGAAAAAAAUAGAAAUAAAAGAAUAGUAAAACUGUACAUGACAACAUUACUCCUCAAAAUCGCUUUACUCAAAGUCAUCAUCCCAUCCAAGUGUCUUCUGUUUCUUUGGAAACAUUCUCACAUGCUUGGCACAGAUAUAAAUCAGUACAAGAAAGUUUUGCAGACAUACAGGAACAUCUUCCCAUGUCACAAUUGGUUGCCUUUCAACUACAGUUGACUACUUGCAAAACAGUAUCGGGCAGGAUUUUUAGUCAUCCAUGUCACUGCCAACUGCCCAUCCUCAAUGUCCCACCCAUUCCCAAUGGGUGAAGGGGCACACAUUUUAACUGUCAGACAACGUUUCAUAAUUGCUGCUUGAUAGUCUGCUGUCCUGCAAUGUUGGUACAGAGCAUCAGUUUUGGGGGGAAUAGAAUGUUCUGGCAAGACUGACGAGGCCAUACAGAAAGAUCUGCAUUUGGCAUCAUUUUUGGCACAUGACUGGCAAAACAGGUGGCACACGUAUUUACACAACGUGUUAAAUGUUUGUAGGUCCAGUUUAAAACUGCUGCCCAGCUUUGCAAACCCAGUCAGGUAUUCUUUUUUAUGACGUGCAAAAGAAAAGGUUUUUUUUGCCUUUGCCAUGAAAGGCACAAGCAGAGUCACAACCUGUGAAUGUAUGGAUGCCAAUGAGUGCUGAACACACACUAGUGCCAGGAGCUGCAGAGACCUUAGAGACGUCAGUCCUCGUUCUGUUGCCUCCUCCUGUGAAAAAAUGCAAUUUACACUGUAAAUCUAUCUGCAGACUAACAGCAAUCACUGCCACGUCAGUAUCAGGGCUUUUAUUGACUACAGCUUGAUGUUCUUGAGCCAAAAGGUUUAUUUAGCCAUUGUCACCCAUAACUGGUAUGCAAUAAAAAGUUCUACUGGAUUCACUUUCGACACACUGUACCCUAUAUACAUUUUAUAACAAAGUUGUGUUGAUAUCUGGGCUAAAAAAUGGUAUCGUUACGACACUAGUUUAAAUAAGAUUUUUUUUAGCAUAAGUUAAUAACAAUUAACCUUGUAGUAAAGGCGUGCGUGUGGCUUACCUGUAGUGAAUGUCGUUAAAAAUCCCAGUCGACGCAUUUUCAGCAAGAUCCUUUGACGGAGCCUGGGAAGAAAGCCAUUGUCUGACGCAACCACGCGGGCUCUGCACGUUUUUUCCAAAUUCCUGCCCUUUUUCGCCCUUGGACAGUUGAGAGAUGCAUAUAGCAUCGUUUCGAUGCCUUUUGACUAAAUUCCGAAUGCGGUUUUCUUAUCUUUGGUUCAUCUUCGCUCGUGUUGUAGCUUGGCACGGUCGCCGCCAUAUUGUUUGUUUAUCGAAGCGCAUAGCAACAGUCCUCGUCUCCUAUUGGUGCACGUGACCUAAAAUGGCUUCACACACUGACGAUACGACUCCGCCGUAUCAAUAUCACUGCGCCACGGGGGAAAAAAAGACCGACACGAAAACGCUAAUUACUAAAAAAUGACUGGAAACCGUGAGUAGAACUUUUUUUUUGGUAGUAAUUAGCAACGUAUGUAAAUUACAAUGCAGAGGUCACGUAGAUCCAUUUCAGUGGAACGAACCAACACAAUUUUGGCUCAGCCAAUAGGGAAUGGGACGUACUACGUCACUGUUUGGACGCGCCUCCAUGCUGGCAAUAUGAUUUACUUCCGGUUCGGCAGAGUCAAUGCGGAUUGUAACGUGUGGUAGUGCUAUGCUAACUCUUUCGGUGUUUUAGAAAGAAAAUAUGGGUGCUUAUUGUUGCGUUACCGGGUGCAACAGCGUCUCCUACGACAAAAAAAGGGGUUAGGAAAAAUGGACUCACUUUUCACCGUUUUCCUGCAUGGAGGACCAAAUAUCAGAUCACGAAGGUACGACGGAUGGCUGGAUUGCAGCGGUUCGUCGGAAAAGCAUUUCUUAUGAUCAUAUUUCUGCUGGAAUGAGAGCGUGUUCCUGUCAUCUCUACUCUUGUAAACCUGCUGACAACACAUCCCGAUUGGUCACCAUCUCUCUUCUUGGAUCAUUUGACAAAGAACAUUUGUUCAAUGGAGUGGUUCCAUUUGUCCUGUGUCGGACUCAAACAAGCCCCUGCUGCAGACGCCAUCUGGGUCUGCCCUUCUCGUCGAUGAACUGCGGGCUUUUAACUUGUGAAAAUGCAAGAACUGUAAUGCACAUAUUUAUUCUGCCUGGCUAUUUAAUUAUGGCCAGUGACGUAUUAUUAUUAUUAUUAUUUUUUUUUUUUUUAAACCACUUUGACAAAGACACGUUUCAUUGUAAUGUUGAAUUUAUAUAUUCUAUUAUUAUUUUUAAAUUAUAAUAUUCUUAUUUGCACUUAUGGAGACUUUAGACUGUCAAUUCAAAUAGUGUUGGAAAAGUUGCAAUACCUAAAAUAGAAAUGCAAGAACUGUAAAGUACAUAUUUAUACACCUUUAUUUACCUAAGGCCACUGGAUGUUUUUUUAACUGCUUUGAAAAAAUACAGGUUUUGUUGUGAUCUUGUAUUUAUAUAGUAUAUAGCUUUUUAUAAUUUAUUAUGUAUUAUAAUAUUUGCUGCCCCCUGCCAGAGUGUGGGCCAUUUUGUACUAAAAGGAUUUUAAACUGUCAAUUCAAAUAGUGUUGGAAAAGUUGCAAUACCUAAAAUAGAAAUGCAAGAACUGUAAAGUACAUAUUUAUACACCUUUAUUUACCUAAGGCCACUGGAUGUUUUUUAACUGCUUUGAAAAAAUACAGGUUUUGUUGUGAUCUUGUAUUUAUAUAGUAUAUAGCUUUUUAUAAUGUAUUAUGUAUUAUAAUAUUUGCUGCCCCCUGCCAGAGUGUGGGCCAUUUUGUACUAAAAGGAUUUUAAACUGUCAGUUCAAAUACUGUGUUGGAGACUAGUACUUGCAAUACUUAAAAUGGAAAUGCAAGAACUUUAAAGCACAUAUUUAUCCUGUCUGGCAAUUUACCCAAGGCCAGUAAAUAGUGUUUUAAACUGCUUUGACAAAGACACGUUUAUUGUGAUCUUGUAUUUGUGUAUUACUUAUAAUUAUAUAAUAUUUGCUGCCACCGUCAGAGGGUGGGCCUUGUUUGCACUAAUUUAAAGAUUUUAAACUGUCAAUUAAAUUAUCGUAUUGGAGAAAUUGCAUUACUUGAAAUAAAUCUAUUGCAACUUAUCAGUCCCAGUUCUUGUCUACAACACUGUCCAAAAAUUGUCAAUGCAUAUUCCAAAUAGAAUAACAAAAUUAAGUCACCUGACUUUGUAAUUAUUACACCUGUUUAUUAUGAAGACCUGAAGUAAACAACAAGCAGUUACAGUUUGUCAAGAAGUUGUUCAAGUCAUGUUUUGGUAUUCAUAUUUUAUUGACUUUUCACAACAACACUUGGGAUCGUGUUUGUAAGAGCAGAGCAAACUGAAGUUUCAGCGUGCACUCUUCGCCUUUCCAACCUCUCAUAACGCUCCGAUGUGGUGCGCUUGACCUCAGAAUAACCCAAGAAGAGAUAUGGUGACCAAUCGGGAUGUGUUGUCAGCAUUUCAUAUGCAGGUUUUCCUAGUAACACAACAGGUAGGUGAGGAGGAGGAGUAGGUUAGCAUUGCUACCGAGGCAGAUUUACACAACAGUAAAAAAAACAACAACAACAA